RNAcentral lists this ribosomal RNA (496 nucleotides) under uncultured bacterium. RNAcentral describes it as "partial 16S ribosomal RNA". It matches the Rfam family "Bacterial small subunit ribosomal RNA", at positions 28 to 507 of the family's 1533-position model. The record is from RNAcentral.
GAUGAACGCUGUCGGCGUGCCUAAUACAUGCAAGUCGAGCGAACAGACGAGGAGCUUGCUCCUCUGACGUUAGCGGCGGACGGGUGAGUAACACGUGGAUAACCUACCUAUAAGACUGGGAUAACUUCGGGAAACCGGAGCUAAUACCGGAUAAUAUAUUGAACCGCAUGGUUCAAUAGUGAAAGACGGUUUUGCUGUCACUUAUAGAUGGAUCCGCGCCGCAUUAGCUAGUUGGUAGGUAACGGCUUACCAAGGCAACGAUGCGUAGCCGACCUGAGAGGGUGAUCGGCCACACUGGAACUGAGACACGGUCCAGACUCCUACGGGAGGCAGCAGUAGGGAAUCUUCCGCAAUGGGCGAAAGCCUGACGGAGCAACGCCGCGUGAGUGAUGAAGGUCUUCGGAUCGUAAAACUCUGUUAUUAGGGAAGAACAAAUGUGUAAGUAACUAUGCACGUCUUGACGGUACCUAAUCAGAAAGCCACGGCUAACUACGUG